Long non-coding RNA from Phyllopteryx taeniolatus (common seadragon), 1376 nucleotides. RefSeq lists it as uncharacterized. Lineage: Eukaryota; Metazoa; Chordata; Actinopteri; Syngnathiformes; Syngnathidae. The record is from RefSeq and is a predicted model, not a curated record. The transcript is spliced from 4 exons.
UAGAUUAACUGAAGACUCUAAAUUACCCGUCAGUGUGAAUGUGAGUCCAAAUGGUUGUUUGUUUAUAAGUGCCCUGGGAUUGGCUGGCAACCAGUUCAGGGUGUACCCUGCCUCUCGCCUGCAGUUAACUGGGAUAGGCUCCAGCAUACCCGCGACCUUAGUGAGGAUAAGCAGUUCGGAAAAUGAAUGAACUACUCCAGUACUGAGUAACUAACUGGUUGGACAUCAUCCUAGAAGAUCCCUUACUUUCCUGCUCAGUGGAGCUCACACACACCAGCUGUACAAUUGCCGAGGCAGGUUAAUCCCGUCAUCACCAGGAAUGCUGGGUCACCUUAGGAACUGUUGAUCUUACUGGCUGAAACAAGAAUGAGGAACAGGCGAAAAGAAUGAGAGGAAAAAUGAUGGGUAAAGAGGAAAGAAAUAUCAAAGUCCUUUUGUCUAAAAAAGGGACUAAAAAGUCCUUAAAACUAAAACUGUGUACGUGCAUGUGCAUGUAUCCUUACUGGGUUAUUGAUUCAUAGUUCCCCUUAAGGAGUAGGAUAUUAAUGUUGACCUCUACAGAGAAGGAAUCAGGGUGGAACAACAAAAAAGCAAGGUAUUAACAUUAAUCAGGAUAAUGCUGUUUGGUGGAGUCCAUGGGGAAAGUCUGCAUGUACCUCAACUUCCCAAUGGGGAAGUGAUUGUUGUUCUUGUUCAUUGAAUUAGCUGGCUAACGCAAGAAACGAUGUUGGCAGUUUUCCCACUUCACAUUGGUGGCUCAGCUCUCAACGCCUUGUUUGAGGCGGUCAGUUUUCUACUCCAUAAAAGUACAGUGGGAAACUGCCAAAACCACGCUGCAUUGACUGCAUCAGUCCGAACGAGACAUGCUAACAAAUAAAAAUGGUAACGAAUGACAGUCUUCUGUUUUCACUUCCUGUUAAGAAAAAGGCCUUUUAUUUUGGGCAGCCGAAGGCAUACCUGUACUAAUUAGCAUCUUGAUAUGCCACACGUGAUAUGGAUUGAUUAUUUUGCCAAAGGAGAAGUGCUCACUAACAUAGAUUUAAACAGAUUUUUUGAACAAUAUUUGAGAGAAAUAGGCCUUUUGUGUACAUAGAAAAAGUCAGAUCUUUGAGUUAAUCUCAUGAUAAAUGGGAGCAGAAAGCAAAUGUACGGAACUUAGUUUUGUUCAGUGUACAGUACAUGGUGAUGACGAAUAUGCUUGCCCAAUUAGCAACCGCCAGUGGUUUAUAUCAUCCAUAUCGUAUUAGUUCGUCAUACUUGGACCUGGUACUCCUUGGUUUUGCCACUGGAAAAGCAUCAAUAGCAAAUAGAGCCUAACUGCACUCAUCUUCCUCAUUCUCUCGUGUUCACCUCCAGCUCUAGUCUUCAUCAGGUCA